UACGUAGGGGGCAAGCGUUGUCCGGAAUUAUUGGGCGUAAAGAGCUCGUAGGCGGUCCGUUAAGUCUGGUGUGAAAUCUUGAGGCUCAACCUCGAAACUGCACCCGAUACUGGCGGACUUGAGGCAGGUAGGGGAAGGUGGAAUUCCUGGUGUAGCGGUGAAAUGCGCAGAUAUCAGGAGGAACACCCGUGGCGAAGGCGGCCUUCUGGGCCUGUUCUGACGCUGAGGAGCGAAAGCGUGGGGAGCAAACAGG
Molecule: ribosomal RNA, 253 nt
Filed under: uncultured bacterium
Lineage: Bacteria
Description: partial 16S ribosomal RNA
Rfam family: Bacterial small subunit ribosomal RNA
Source: RNAcentral